This 490-nucleotide ribosomal RNA is filed under the name uncultured bacterium. RNAcentral's name for it is "partial 16S ribosomal RNA". It matches the Rfam family "Bacterial small subunit ribosomal RNA", at positions 30 to 507 of the family's 1533-position model. The record is from RNAcentral.
AUUGAACGCUGGCGGCAGGCCUAACACAUGCAAGUCGAACGGUAACAGGAAGCAGCUUGCUGCUUUGCUGACGAGUGGCGGACGGGUGAGUAAUGUCUGGGAAACUGCCUGAUGGAGGGGGAUAACUACUGGAAACGGUAGCUAAUACCGCAUAACGUCGCAAGACCAAAGAGGGGGACCUUCGGGCCUCUUGCCAUCGGAUGUGUCCAGAUGGGAUUAGCUAGUAGGUGGGGUAACGGCUCACCUAGGCGACGAUCCCUAGCUGGUCUGAGAGGAUGACCAGCCACACUGGAACUGAGACACGGUCCAGACUCCUACGGGAGGCAGCAGUGGGGAAUAUUGCACAAUGGGCGCAAGCCUGAUGCAGCCAUGCCGCGUGUAUGAAGAAGGCCUUCGGGUUGUAAAGUACUUUCAGCGGGGAGGAAGGGAGUAAAGUUAAUACCUUUGCUCAUUGACGUUACCCGCAGAAGAAGCACCGGCUAACUCCGUG